GCCAGGUGCUGUAAUGCUUGCCUGUAAUCCCAGCAUCUUGGGAGGCUGAGAUAGGAGGAUCACAAGUUGCAGGCCAGCCUCAGCAACUUAGUGAGGCCCUGUCUCAA
Molecule: small RNA, 107 nt
Filed under: Marmota monax (woodchuck)
Lineage: Eukaryota; Metazoa; Chordata; Mammalia; Rodentia; Sciuridae
Source: RNAcentral